Molecule: long non-coding RNA, 1310 nt
Organism: Nicotiana tabacum (common tobacco)
Lineage: Eukaryota; Viridiplantae; Streptophyta; Magnoliopsida; Solanales; Solanaceae
Source: RefSeq, a predicted model, not a curated record
UCUCUCAUUCUCGAAAGAUCACUGCCGCAUGCCAUCAAAAGAAAACACGAAUUAGGUUUAGUUAAAUGCAGUGCUCAUGAACCGGCAAUUUCAACUAUCCACCCUACUUCACGUAAUUCACUCCUUCCCUUAUUUCCAUGUCUCCAUAUGUGUACUUCCCUAUAUUUGAAGACUUCUAGUCAAAACAUAUGAUAAAACACGUUUUUAGAGUGAAUUGAGGAUAGAGAGGUCACGAACAGUGAGGUGGGAGGAAUCUAUGGCUUUGGGCAAAAUUUAAAAGAAUAGAGGCGAGGCUUGAGGGAUCUAUUUUUGGCAGAUCUUCACCUUUUCUUGGAAACUCGAAAAACACACAACAAAAUAAUACAUAUUUCUGCUUCUUCACUUUUCAAUUCUAGAUUUUUAUUCAAGAAUGGACUCUGGUUAAAAUGUGGGUCUGAGUCCGUGUUUGGUUGAGUUUUCUGGCGCCGAUUCGAGACUCCGUCCGGUUUUCAGCUUUUUGGUGCCGAUUCCAGUUCUGUGCGCUGUUCGUUACAUUUUUGAGUUUAAAGCAGUGAGACAAUUAAUUUCCAGCUAAAUUAAGGUAUGCUGGUUCUUGUGCUUCCGCAUCUGCAGAGGAAUGGAUGCAGAUGGGAGUCCGUAGAUGCAGACAGUUGGUCACAGGAGCGCAAACAAGCUUGGCUGACGAUGAUCGUAAAUGCAGAGGAAGAGGCGCACCUGCGUGUGCGCAGAAGCGAAUCAUUGGGCGGAAGAGCGGGGUCUUGCGCAGGAGUGAAGAGGAGCUCGCACCUGCGAUGUCGCAGAAGUGGAAAUUGUUCCGCAAGUGUAAGGGGUUGGUUGGUUAGUCGUGGUCGCAGAAGCGUGAUUUUGGUCGCAAAAGCGACGCUGCAGAAGAGGCUAAUGUGCCGCAGGCGCGAAAAUACUUGGCAGAAGCUAUAAAUCGAGGGUUUUGGUUCUUUCUUCAUAUUUUGAGAUGUGGGACUAGGAUUGAGGCGACUUUUGAAGCAAUUUUCAUUACAGGGAUCUGGUUUCGAGUCGUUCGGAGGUCGGUACCCGCGAGAUGGUAUUUUUGGAGCAUCGGUUGGCUAGUUUCGAGUGUUGGAUCUGGCUUGUUUGAGAUGUUGGAUGAUGAUGUUGUUGUGAUCGACGGGAGCUGAAAAUUGAAGACGUACUUGCAUUCCGGAUGUAGCUACCUCUUUUUCAUGAUAGCAUUAGAUGUAUAAAAAUUUGUUUAUGUACAUUUCGAACAAUUGAUGUAUUUAUUUUAUACUAACUUUGUAAACUCUAAUCUUAGAAGCUCAUGAUUUGUACUA